UUGCCUUUGCCAAAGAAAA
This 19-nucleotide non-coding RNA is filed under the name Mus musculus (house mouse). The record is from RNAcentral. Lineage: Eukaryota; Metazoa; Chordata; Mammalia; Rodentia; Muridae.